AUCGUCAUUGACGCUGAGAUGGGGAAAUUGGAAACCACGGGCAAGAAUGGCGGCAACAUAUUCAUCGACCGCGGGAAGAAUACAGAAUUCCGAUUGCUUGUCCGACCGGGUCUGCUCGAAGGCAGUAUCGAACACCUCACUCAGGUGUUGGAUGUAGGCGAGAUCGCGCUCGUAGGAGUAUCCAAGCAAUAGCCCCAACCGGAGCC
This 206-nucleotide unclassified non-coding RNA is filed under the name Hevea brasiliensis (rubber tree). The record is from RNAcentral. Lineage: Eukaryota; Viridiplantae; Streptophyta; Magnoliopsida; Malpighiales; Euphorbiaceae.